AGGACGAACGCUGGCGGCGUGCCUAACACAUGCAAGUCGAACGAGGUUAAUCCGGUAGCAAUACUGGUGACUGCCUAGUGGCGAACGGGUGAGUAGCACGUGAGCAACCUGCCCCGAAGACCGGGACAACACCGGGAAACCGGUGCUAAUACCGGAUACCCCCACCUAAUCGCAUGAUCUGGUGAGGAAAUGGAUUCCGCUUCGGGAGGGGCUCGCGGCCUAUCAGCUAGUUGGUGAGGUAACGGCUCACCAAGGCUUCGACGGGUAGCUGGUCUGAGAGGACGAUCAGCCACACUGGGACUGAGACACGGCCCAGACUCCUACGGGAGGCAGCAGUGGGGAAUCUUGCACAAUGGGCGAAAGCCUGAUGCAGCAACGCCGCGUGAGGGACGAAGGCUUUCUGAGUUGUAAACCUCUUUCAGCAGGGACGAUUGUGACGGUACCUGCAGAAGACGCCCGGCACUACGUGCCAGCAGCCGCGGUAA
This 485-nucleotide ribosomal RNA is filed under the name uncultured bacterium. RNAcentral's name for it is "SSU rRNA". It matches the Rfam family "Bacterial small subunit ribosomal RNA", at positions 26 to 523 of the family's 1533-position model. The record is from RNAcentral.